CAGGAGAUGAAGCUGGUUGGAGUAAGUUACAAACAGAAGCAUGGGAUGACUAGAUGAACAUUUCAAAAACAGCAUUCUGCCUGCAGGGAGCAAGAGUAGAAGAAUACCUGGUGGCAACCUAACAGAUACAUCUCAUGACUUCAUACUAUGAAUUCCAGCCUGAGUUCUGAACCUGGAGAGAUCCCUAAUAGGUCUACUCUCUUAAUACUCACUGACAGGUCAUCUCCCCCACUUAAAAAUCUUCAAAGCACCCCAACACCCACUGACCCUCACCAUCUCCAACCCACUGCCUUGAGAUAAAAAUCCAAGCUUCUAAAAGAGAGCUUUCGAGAUUUAACAAGAUCAGUGAGACUCUGACUGAUACAUUAGCUGGUUCCAUUUCUGCAUGAGCAGGUGGCUCAGGAUCCCGCAGUACCUGAUCUACUUCAUCACUGCCUCUCCCUCAACCACACACCUGCGGACCCCUCAGGCUUCCCUGUAAGUAGUUGGAAGAAACUAAGUUUUGUCUAACUAACGCUAACUAACACUGUGGGCUUGGCCCACUGCUAGGUCUGCACAGCAUCCCACACCAGCCAAAAGCGGACUGCCCUGUCACUGCAACCUCUCAGGGCCAGGCCCGAAAGACAGGACU
Molecule: long non-coding RNA, 631 nt
Organism: Cervus elaphus (red deer)
Lineage: Eukaryota; Metazoa; Chordata; Mammalia; Artiodactyla; Cervidae
Exons: 3
Source: RefSeq, a predicted model, not a curated record